Molecule: long non-coding RNA, 1154 nt
Organism: Aedes aegypti (yellow fever mosquito)
Lineage: Eukaryota; Metazoa; Arthropoda; Insecta; Diptera; Culicidae
Exons: 4
Source: RefSeq, a predicted model, not a curated record
AAAAAAUCUGAUCCCAUUAUCAUGAUUUACGAAUCAUGAAAAUUAUAAAUUGCUCUUGGGACGAAAUCAUGAUUCAGACUCAUGAUUUUUGAAGCUGAGCUACCACUAUCAUGAUUCAGAGCAACCAUUUUCAUGAGCUCCAAAUCAUGACCAUGAAAAGCGUUACGCACACGGUGCACCUGUCAAAACGUGUUUAGCAAAGCUUGUGCAAAGCAUAGUUGGCAGCGCAUUCACGGAAAAGUUGCCCUUUUUUUUAAAAAAAAGUUCACUUUUAUUGCCGGUUUCCUGCGCCGCUGUUGCUCUACUGUCGUUCCUGCUCUACUAUUCCGUUCCUGCUCCGUUGAUAUCGAGCUAUUCCGGCACUGCAAAACUACCGCCGUUUCAUUCUGUUCCUUUCCUGCCGUGGCUGUUGCCCGUUCCGGCUCCUGUGUACCCGUUCCGGCUCCGCAUUGAGGGAAAAUUCUUCCGGCUCCGCUCUACUAACUACCGCCGUUUUAUUGUCCCAGUGCCACUGUCGCCAUUCCCGCCGCGGCUGUUGCCGUCCAAUAGGUGCAUCCGUUCCGGCUCCGCAUUGAGUGACCAGCUCCGCCCUACCAACUACCGGUAAGUGAUACAAAAUUAAUGUAUUUUUGCUCCUCUAAUCGAAAUCAAAUAUUGACCAUUUUUCACCGUCUUCUCUUCCGUAAUAAGUUCCCGAUUUGGUUGCCGUUCCGGACGUUUCGUUUUCAGCCUUGGCUGGUUCCGCCCAGUAGGUGUUCCCGUUCCGACUUUCCCCACAACUACCGAACGCAGGUGAUAUAGAAGGGAGGAUCGAGCGGCGACUGAACCAUCUCCGCGAAAAAUUUGGGGAAUCAUCGCUACAACCUCAAAUUGUCGCAGUGGGCACGAGCAACUCAACAAAAACAACGAUGGUUAUUUUUGGCGGCGCGGAGUAUAUCGCAGAUAAUAUUGUGCAUGCUGUAUGCAUUUGUAUGCAUAUCACUUAUGUGCUAAAUUUGCGAUAUACUCCGGACUGCAAACCGCUGUGGCUCUUUGUUCAGUCAUACCUGUUCAAAAUCCCGGCGUCCAUUAUUGAGCUCCCGAAGAGCACACGUGAUUUGCUAAAAGGUAUAGAUAAUUAAACUGGAAGAUCGUUUUCUUUUUCUUGAAAUAAU